CUGGGACUGUAGGGUCUCCCUCUGUUGUCCAAGGCUGGAGUGUAGUAGUGCUAUCACAGCUGACUGCAGCCUCAACCUUCCAGGCUGAAGCGAUCCUCCCAUCUCAACCUCCCACGUGGCUGAGACU
This 127-nucleotide long non-coding RNA is filed under the name Pongo abelii (Sumatran orangutan). Its description in RNAcentral is "lincRNA". The record is from RNAcentral. Lineage: Eukaryota; Metazoa; Chordata; Mammalia; Primates; Hominidae.